UGUGUUGUGGCUCAGUGGUAGAAUACUUGCCUAGCAUGUAUGAGGUACUGAGUUCAAUUCUCAGCAUCACAU
RNAcentral lists this transfer RNA (72 nucleotides) under Marmota marmota marmota (Alpine marmot). It matches the Rfam family "tRNA". Rfam says of the family: Transfer RNA (tRNA) molecules are approximately 80 nucleotides in length. RNAcentral also lists the same sequence under 1 other name. Lineage: Eukaryota; Metazoa; Chordata; Mammalia; Rodentia; Sciuridae. The record is from Rfam by way of RNAcentral.